AAUCAACGCUGGCGGCGUGCCUCAGACAUGCAAGUCGAACGAUUAAAGCUCUCUUCGGAGAGUGCAUAGAGUGGCGCACGGGUGAGUAACACGUAAGUAAUCUACCUUCGAGUGGGGAAUAACGUCCGGAAACGGACGCUAAUACCGCAUAAUGCAGCGGCAUCGUAAGAUGACAGUUGUUAAAGAUUUAUCGCUUGAAGAGGAGCUUGCGGCAGAUUAGCUAGUUGGUAAGGUAAUGGCUUACCAAGGCUACGAUCUGUAACCGGUCUUAGAGGACGGUCGGUCACACUGACACUGAAUAACGGGUCAGACUCCUACGGGAGGCAGCAGUCGGGAAUUUUGGGCAAUGGGCGAAAGCCUGACCCAGCAACGCCGCGUGAAGGAUGAAGUAUUUCGGUAUGUAAACUUCGAAAGAAUAGGAAGAAUAAAUGACGGUACUAUUUAUAAGGUCCGGCUAACUACGUGCCAGCAGCCGCGUAAU
This 481-nucleotide ribosomal RNA is filed under the name uncultured bacterium. RNAcentral's name for it is "bacterial SSU rRNA". It matches the Rfam family "Bacterial small subunit ribosomal RNA", at positions 32 to 524 of the family's 1533-position model. The record is from RNAcentral.